GAUAAAGAACGUAGCGAAAUGCGAUAAGUAAUGUGAAUUGCAGAAUUCAGUGAAUCAUCGAGUUUUUGAACGCAUAUUGCGCCCUCUGGUAUUCCGGGGGGCAUGCCUGUUCGAGCGUCAUUAAAUAACCCUCAAGCAUAGCUUGGUGUUGGGCUUUUUUACGUCCUUGACUGGGAUGGGCCUAAAAAUUAGUGGCGAUGGCUUUUUUACUUUCAAGCGUAGUAAAUCUCGUCUUGCUAAAGAGGAAAAAGAUUUUUUUUCUGCCAAAAAUUUUAACAUUUAAAGUUGACCUCGGAUCAGGUAGGAUUACCCGCUGAACUUAAGCAUAUCAAUAAGCGGAGGA
Molecule: unclassified non-coding RNA, 343 nt
Filed under: soil metagenome
Description: partial contains 5.8S ribosomal RNA, internal transcribed spacer 2, and large subunit ribosomal RNA
Rfam family: 5.8S ribosomal RNA (bases 1-120)
Source: RNAcentral